GGUGAUUGUUAGCAUCACAAAGCAGAGUAAAUUCAGCUCUGAGUCAUGGUAUCAUGAGUAGAACCACUUCAACCAGCUACCUGAUCAGAUACUUAGUAUGUAGAUGGAGAUCACACUUCAUGGUCCUGCCAUGUUAAAUGGUCUGACUUGGCUAGUCACUGCUUCUUGGUCAAGAAUUUACCAUCUGAGCCACCAGGGAAGCCCCUAGUAGGUAGCACAGCACUGUUCAAAAUGCAGAGGUGUCUGAAAAAUCCAAUGCAGAUAAAUCUCCAGUUCUACACAGAGCACUAGAAGAAAAUCUUAUUUUUGCCUAAUGGCUGGAGUUUUUACUAAUAAUACCUGGUUUUGCAUAUGGCUUUCUCUAGAUAUAUCAAAAUACAGCAAGACCACAACCUGGGGUAAGUACCAAAGAAAUAGUAGAUAAAUAUUGUUUGCAAAAUGAAGAGUGGAGGUCAGAGCUUGGGGUGAUGUCAAUUAAUGUAUGUCCAAAUAUAAUUUCACACAAAUGCAGUAAAUUGGAGUUCUGAAAUGGGAAGCAAAACAAGGACCAGGCAGAGAUGUAUGAGUUAGCUGGUGUCAUGAACUCAAGGAAGAAAUGUGAACCGUUCAUCUUAAUUCCAGCAGAAGUCCAGCUGAUUUGUAGUUGUUUUUCUAUCGCCAGAGCAUGCCUUCUCACUCCAUAUUUUUAAAGCUGCUGGAAGCACAACCGACUUUAGAGUUUGCCCUCUUAGGCUUGUUUUUUUUAAGAUUAUUUCCAUGCUUUAUACAACUGCUCUGUUAGUUAUAGCCAGUCAUGAUUCAUUAAGACCACAGCAGUGGAUUUUGAAAGUAAUUCAUCUGUUUUCCUUUUAUUCCAUCUCACUCUGUAUUUGCUUAGGAGUCCUGCAGGUGGCUGGCUGGUCAAGCUGGAAGAGUAGGGUUUGGGUGAUGUCUGCUUCUGAGUCACAUUCCGGGACAUGACAAUUCCAUGACCAGAGUUACCACUGAAGAGAGCCAAGACAAUGAGUGGAAUCAGACCAUGCGUGGGGCCAAGAUAAACUGGGCUAACACUCCAACUGUUCAGAAUGGCUUGGUGCCUGGACACCACCCCUGUGAACACCCAGCUCCCUAGGCCCUGCCCUGCCUUUCUGGUAGGCGAGAUUUCCCCACAUGCUACCACCCCACCAAACCACAUCUAGCAAGGCAGAAGCUUGAGUAUGUUAUGAUAUUACAGCAUUCUUAUAAUAUUUCCCUGUGUCUUCUUGAGUUUAUUUUCUUUUCAAGAAACUUUAUUUGAACAUGGUUCAAAAAUCAGAACUAUACAAAGGUGCACUGAGUAGUGUCACUUUUUUCUGUCCCCAUCCACCACUUUCUCCCCCCUCACUAUAAGCCAUCACUGAAUUUCUGCUUGCCUUUUAUUCUGUUUAGCUUUAUAUUUUUAUGCAUAUACGAGUAAAUAUUCUCAUACUUCUAUUUUUGAUACGAAAGAUCGAGCUUAUUCUGCUACAUUUUGCUGUGUUUUUUUUUUUUUUUUUUUCAUUUAAAAAUAUACUGUAGAGGACCUCCUUGGUUGUCCAGUCAUUAAGAAUCCACAUGCCAGUGAAGGGGACACAGGUUGGAUCCUUGGUCAGAGAAGAUCCUACAUGCCAUAGGGCAACUAAUUCCUCAAGCCAAAAAGACUGAAGCCUGCACACCUAGAACCUAUGCUCUGCAACAAGAGGAGCCACCACAGUGAGAAUUCCAUGCAUGGCAACUAGAGAAAGUACAUGUGUAGCAAUGAAGACCCAGCACAGCCAAAAAUUAACUAAUUAAUUAAAUUAUAUAUAUAGGUAUAUAUACCAAAAUAUUUAUAUUUAAUACCUAUAUGUAUUACUCAAUGAAACUCAGCCAUGCCCCUGGGGCCACCCAAGAUGGGCGGGUCAUGGUGGAGAGGUCUGACAGAAUGUGGUCCACUGGAGAAGGAAAUGGCAAACCACUUCAG
Long non-coding RNA from Bos indicus x Bos taurus (hybrid cattle), 1960 nucleotides. The record is from Ensembl. NCBI's taxonomy places the organism in Eukaryota, Metazoa, Chordata, Mammalia, Artiodactyla, Bovidae.